GGAGUCGGCCGGGCAACCGCGUCAUGCGAAGGCAUGCCGAGGAAAGUCCGGGCUCCACAGGGCACGGUGCCAGGUAACGCCUGGGCGGCGCGAGCCGACGGAAAGUGCAACAGAGAGAAGACCGCCGAUGGCCCGCGAGGGCACAGGCAAGGGUGAAACGGUGCGGUAAGAGCGCACCGCGAGUCUGGCAACAGACCGGCACGGCAAACCCCAUCGGGAGCAAGACCAAAUAGGGAGACGAUGCCGUGGCCCGCGGUGUCUCCGGGUAGGUUGCUUGAGCGCGCCGGUGACGGCGCGCCUAGAGGAAUGGUUGCCCACGACAGAACCCGGCUUACAGGCCGGCUCCGCCC
Molecule: RNase P RNA, 350 nt
Filed under: Marilutibacter penaei
Lineage: Bacteria; Pseudomonadati; Pseudomonadota; Gammaproteobacteria; Lysobacterales; Lysobacteraceae
Description: Lysobacter penaei Bacterial RNase P class A
Rfam family: Bacterial RNase P class A
About the family: Ribonuclease P (RNase P) is a ubiquitous endoribonuclease, found in archaea, bacteria and eukarya as well as chloroplasts and mitochondria. Its best characterised activity is the generation of mature 5'-ends of tRNAs by cleaving the 5'-leader elements of precursor-tRNAs.
Source: Rfam by way of RNAcentral